Molecule: ribosomal RNA, 405 nt
Filed under: uncultured Chloroflexota bacterium
Lineage: Bacteria; Bacillati; Chloroflexota
Also listed under: 1 other name
Description: bacterial SSU rRNA
Rfam family: Bacterial small subunit ribosomal RNA
Source: RNAcentral
CAGGGAAUCUUGCGCAAUGGGCGAAAGCCUGACGCAGCGACACCGCGUGAGGGAAGAAUGCUUUCGGGUUGUAAACCUCUUUUGUUAGGGAAGAGAAGGGACUGUACCUGACGAAUAAGCCCCGGCUAACUACGUGCCAGCAGCCGCGGUAAUACGUAGGGGGCGAGCGUUGUCCGGAUUUAUUGGGCGUAAAGGGCGAGUAGGCGGCACGUCAAGUCCCAUGUGAAAUCUCCCGGCUUAACCGGGAGGGGUCAUGGGAAACUGGCGGGCUUGAGGACAGCAGAGGAGAGCGGAAUUCCCGGAGUAGUGGUGAAAUGCGUAGAUACCGGGAGGAACACCAGUGGCGAAAGCGGCUCUCUGGGCUGCCCCUGACGCUGAGGCGCGAAAGCAUGGGGAGCAAACCGG